Molecule: small nucleolar RNA, 137 nt
Organism: Sorex araneus (European shrew)
Lineage: Eukaryota; Metazoa; Chordata; Mammalia; Eulipotyphla; Soricidae
Source: Ensembl
GGUGCCCUGCAGGUGCUGGCCGGGCACCACAGACACGGCUGCCUGGCCGCAUCGUGGCGCAGGGCAGAGAAAGUGGCUAUUUCUACGCUCAGCGCCCAGACCCGUGGGCGCUAAGAAUGGUUUGUAGCCUCACAUUC